Molecule: ribosomal RNA, 253 nt
Filed under: uncultured bacterium
Lineage: Bacteria
Description: partial 16S ribosomal RNA
Rfam family: Bacterial small subunit ribosomal RNA
Source: RNAcentral
UACGGAGGGUGCAAGCGUUAAUCGGAAUUACUGGGCGUAAAGCGUAUGUAGGCGGUUUGAUCAGUCGGAUGUGAAAUCCCCGAGCUUAACUUGGGAAUGGCAUUCGAAACUAUCAAGCUAGAGUAGGCUAGAGGAAAGGGGAAUUCCGCGUGUAGCAGUGAAAUGCGUAGAUAUGCGGAGGAACACCAAUGGCGAAGGCACCUUUCUGGGGUCAUACUGACGCUGAGAUACGAAAGCGUGGGGAGCAAACAGG